Pan troglodytes (chimpanzee) is the source of this 2948-nucleotide RNA transcript. It is a transcript of the gene named dematin actin binding protein, with no coding region annotated. The transcript is spliced from 15 exons. The record is from RefSeq and is marked provisional. Lineage: Eukaryota; Metazoa; Chordata; Mammalia; Primates; Hominidae.
AAAGAUGAAGAAAGCCAAGAAAAGGGACCAGAAGAGAAAGCAGAAAGACAGGAGGAAGAAAGGGAGAGAGGGCCAGGCAGCCGCACUGUGAACAGAACAGGAGAAGGCGAAGCGGGGCAAAGUUCCCUGCCCACCGACGCCAGCCUGCUUGGAUGACUUGCCUCGUUUCAUAAUUCACUUACUGUCUGCACCAGCCGGCCUCCAGCCUGGCUGGACCCUGCUGCCUGUGUGGCCCGGAGCCAGAGGCCCCCACACUCCCAGCUGCUCUUCUACAGAUGCCAUCAACGAGCAGGACUCUGGGUGGCUCCACUGUCUAAGCCUGGAGAGUCACCGCCGAGGGAUGAGGACGCGCCAGCCCGGUGGGACGCGCCAGCUGCUUUCGCGGCCCCAAGCGCGCAGCGCCCAGCAGCCGCGCCGAGCCUGACACGCUGUCCUCUCCCCUCGCGCACAGGGCUCUGCGAGUGACCCGGCAGGCGAGCUCCGUGCUGCAUGGAACGGCUGCAGAAGCAACCACUUACCUCCCCCGGGAGCGUGAGCCCCUCCCGAGAUUCCAGUGUGCCUGGCUCUCCCUCCAGCAUCGUGGCCAAGAUGGACAAUCAGGUGCUGGGCUACAAGGACCUGGCUGCCAUCCCCAAGGACAAGGCCAUCCUGGACAUCGAGCGGCCCGACCUCAUGAUCUACGAGCCUCACUUCACUUAUUCCCUCCUGGAACACGUGGAGCUGCCUCGCAGCCGCGAGCGCUCGCUGUCACCCAAAUCCACAUCCCCCCCACCAUCCCCAGAGGUGUGGGCGGACAGCCGGUCGCCUGGAAUCAUCUCUCAGGCCUCGGCCCCCAGAACCACUGGAACCCCCCGGACCAGCCUGCCCCAUUUCCACCACCCUGAGACCUCCCGCCCAGAUUCCAACAUCUACAAGAAGCCUCCCAUCUAUAAGCAGAGAGAGUCCGUGGGAGGCAGCCCUCAGACCAAGCACCUCAUCGAGGAUCUCAUCAUCGAGUCAUCCAAGUUUCCUGCAGCCCAGCCCCCAGACCCCAACCAGCCAGCCAAAAUCGAAACCGACUACUGGCCAUGCCCCCCGUCUCUGGCUGUUGUGGAGACAGAAUGGAGGAAGCGGAAGGCGUCUCGGAGGGGAGCAGAGGAAGAGGAGGAGGAGGAAGAUGACGACUCUGGAGAGGAGAUGAAGGCUCUCAGGGAGCGUCAGAGAGAGGAACUCAGUAAGGUUACUUCCAACUUGGGAAAGAUGAUCUUGAAAGAAGAGAUGGAAAAGUCAUUGCCGAUCCGAAGGAAAACCCGCUCUCUGCCUGACCGGACACCCUUCCAUACCUCCUUGCACCAGGGAACGUCUAAAUCUUCCUCUCUCCCCGCCUAUGGCAGGACCACCCUGAGCCGGCUACAGUCCACAGAGUUCAGCCCAUCAGGGAGUGAGACUGGAAGCCCAGGCCUGCAGGUGAGUGCCUCCUGGAGGGGAACAGGCAGAGCAGCAGAAGCUGGGUCCUGGCACCCGAAAGUGUCAGGGGAAGGGGGGUGUGGGGCCACAGAGUUGCCUGGUGAAGAAGAAGAAGCCGGGGUAAGGCUGGGAAGGUCUCCCUGCCCCGCUCUGGCUCACUGCGGCUUUGGUCUCCCCAGAACGGAGAGGGCCAGAGGGGGAGGAUGGACCGGGGGAACUCCCUGCCCUGUGUGCUGGAGCAGAAGAUCUAUCCCUAUGAAAUGCUAGUGGUGACCAACAAGGGGCGAACCAAGCUGCCACCGGGGGUGGAUCGGAUGCGGCUUGAGAGGCAUCUGUCUGCCGAGGACUUCUCAAGGGUAUUUGCCAUGUCCCCUGAAGAGUUUGGCAAGCUGGCUCUGUGGAAGCGGAAUGAGCUCAAGAAGAAGGCCUCUCUCUUCUGAUGGCCCUCACCUGCUCCAGGACGGCCCCCUUACCCCUGCUGCUUCAGGGUUUUUCCCCGGGGGGUUGGGAGGGGCAGGAGGUGGGGUGGAAAUAGGGUGGGCUCCUUUCCUCAGGUAGAGUGGGGGGCCAAAACCUCUGCAGUCCCCAGCAGUGAGCUACGGACUUUCUUCCCCCUCACAAGGCUGGGGGCCUCCUGCUCUCGUCCCUGGCCCUCCCUGCACAGGGCAAAGCCAGUCUGGGCUCUGGCACACAGAGUUCAUGUUUGCGCCCUCUCCCUGCCCCUCACCCCAGAGGGUGAGGAGGAAUGAGGGGCAUUGGUGGUUAGGCCGGUUGGCUGUCUUGAACAGCUGGAGGGAAGAUGCAGGGGUGGGAAGCGGCCAGGCAGAAAGAGCUCCAGGCUCUUGUGUCACCCACCCAGCCCUCCCAUACUCACUCCUGACAGCUUUCCUGCACUGCAGCCUCCUGCUCCUCUGACUCUAGUGGGAACAGGCCCCAGCUCAGCCUCCGGCAGGGAGGUCACCCCUCCACUUCAGCUUGCCCUGACCUCCGCUCGCAAACCCCGAGCUUCCAAGCCUUUUGCUCUAGCCCUGUGGCUUCCCCAGAAGCCUGGGCUUAGGGUGGAGAUGCCGCCUACACACGAUCCUGGCCCUCCACCUGCCUCCAGGCCACGAAAUGGGAAUUCCAGCACUAAGCCAGGCACCGGGCAGAAGCUGGGCCUUCCACCUCCCUUGGAUGGGGUCAAGAGGCCAGGCCUGGCACAUUUUGGAGUGUCCUGGCUACCAGCUCUCACCUACACCCACGCACCCCCCCACACACUAUGCUCUCUCAAGAAUGUAAUUUAUUGGGGCCCCCCCAGCUGCUUUCCUCACCUGCCCCUGCCCUACCUUACACCCCCAGCUUGACUUCUUUCCAGUCCACGUGUGUAUAUAAUGAUAUCUAUAUUUUUGCCCAGGUCUGGGUAUUGCUCCUGCCCAGACCCUGACAUCCCUUUCCACUGUGUGUGUGACCAUGCUGGGGGAGGGGGACUCUGCUUGGAAUUAAAAGGUUGCAUUGGGUCCCUA